Molecule: ribosomal RNA, 898 nt
Filed under: Escherichia coli
Lineage: Bacteria; Pseudomonadati; Pseudomonadota; Gammaproteobacteria; Enterobacterales; Enterobacteriaceae
Description: partial 23S ribosomal RNA
Rfam family: Bacterial large subunit ribosomal RNA
Source: RNAcentral
GGGUUGUGAGGUUAAGCGACUAAGCGUACACGGUGGAUGCCCUGGCAGUCAGAGGCGAUGAAGGACGUGCUAAUCUGCGAUAAGCGUCGGUAAGGUGAUAUGAACCGUUAUAACCGGCGAUUUCCGAAUGGGGAAACCCAGUGUGUUUCGACACACUAUCAUUAACUGAAUCCAUAGGUUAAUGAGGCGAACCGGGGGAACUGAAACAUCUAAGUACCCCGAGGAAAAGAAAUCAACCGAGAUUCCCCCAGUAGCGGCGAGCGAACGGGGAGCAGCCCAGAGCCUGAAUCAGUGUGUGUGUUAGUGGAAGCGUCUGGAAAGGCGCGCGAUACAGGGUGACAGCCCCGUACACAAAAAUGCACAUACUGUGAGCUCGAUGAGUAGGGCGGGACACGUGGUAUCCUGUCUGAAUAUGGGGGGACCAUCCUCCAAGGCUAAAUACUCCUGACUGACCGAUAGUGAACCAGUACCGUGAGGGAAAGGCGAAAAGAACCCCGGCGAGGGGAGUGAAAAAGAACCUGAAACCGUGUACGUACAAGCAGUGGGAGCACGCUUCGGCGUGUGACUGCGUACCUUUUGUAUAAUGGGUCAGCGACUUAUAUUCUGUAGCAAGGUUAACCGAAUAGGGGAGCCGAAGGGAAACCGAGUCUUAACUGGGCGUUAAGUUGCAGGGUAUAGACCCGAAACCCGGUGAUCUAGCCAUGGGCAGGUUGAAGGUUGGGUAACACUAACUGGAGGACCGAACCGACUAAUGUUGAAAAAUUAGCGGAUGACUUGUGGCUGGGGGUGAAAGGCCAAUCAAACCGGGAGAUAGCUGGUUCUCCCCGAAAGCUAUUUAGGUAGCGCCUCGUGAAUUCAUCUCCGGGGGUAGAGCACUGUUUCGGCAAGGGGGUCAUCC